CUAGCGACUUCAGAGUUUGAUCCUGGCUCAGGAUGAACGCUAGCGGCAGGCUUAACACAUGCAAGUCGAGGGGCAGCAUGACACGGAGAUUCGUCGAAGUGUUGAUGGCGACCGGCGCAAGGGUGCGUAACGCGUGAGCAACUUGCCCGUUUCUGGGGAAUAACCGGUGGAAGCGCCGACUAAUACCCCAUAGUAUUGAGUUUAGGCAUCUUUACUCAAUUAAAGAAAUUCGGAAACGGAUAGGCUCGCGUGACAUUAGCUAGAUGGUGAGGUAACGGCUCACCAUGGCGACGAUGUCUAGGGGUUCUGAGAGGAAGGUCCCCCACACUGGAACUGAGACACGGUCCAG
RNAcentral lists this ribosomal RNA (349 nucleotides) under uncultured bacterium. RNAcentral describes it as "bacterial SSU rRNA". It matches the Rfam family "Bacterial small subunit ribosomal RNA", at positions 1 to 334 of the family's 1533-position model. The record is from RNAcentral.